Molecule: ribosomal RNA, 301 nt
Filed under: uncultured bacterium
Lineage: Bacteria
Description: partial 16S ribosomal RNA
Rfam family: Bacterial small subunit ribosomal RNA
Source: RNAcentral
CAGCAGCCGCGGUAAUACGGAGGGUGCAAGCGUUAAUCGGAAUUACUGGGCGUAAAGCGCACGCAGGCGGUCUGACAAGUCAGAUGUGAAAUCCCCGGGCUUAACCUGGGAACUGCAUUUGAAACUGUCAGGCUGGAGUCUUGUAGAGGGGGGUGGAAUUCCAGGUGUAGCGGUGAAAUGCGUAGAGAUCUGGAGGAAUACCGGUGGCGAAGGCGGCCCCCUGGACAAAGACUGACGCUCAGGUGCGAAAGCGUGGGGAGCAAACAGGAUUAGAUACCCCUGUAGUCCCUGUCUCUUAUCC